CGCAUAUUGCACUCUCUGGUAUUCCGGAGAGUAUGCUUGUUUGAGUAUCUGUAAACAUCUCAAAUCUCUUUUUUUUUUUGGAGAGAGAAUUGGAUUUGAGCAAUCCCGACUGUUUUUUACAAUGGGAAGGUUGCUUGAAAUGCAGAUGCAGCUGGACAUUCUUCUGAGCUAAAAGCAUAUUUAUUUAGUCCCGUAAAACGGAUUAUUACUUUUUGCUUCAGCUAACAUAAAGGUAGAAUGGACAAUCCAAAGCUGAUUGCAGGAAAACUUGUUCUUGAUUGAACUUGUGAACUCGAUCUCAAAUCAAGUAAGACUACCCGCUGAACUUAA
RNAcentral lists this unclassified non-coding RNA (330 nucleotides) under Mortierella sp. Its description in RNAcentral is "partial contains 5.8S ribosomal RNA, internal transcribed spacer 2, and large subunit ribosomal RNA". Lineage: Eukaryota; Fungi; Mortierellomycota; Mortierellomycetes; Mortierellales; Mortierellaceae. The record is from RNAcentral.